This 771-nucleotide ribosomal RNA is filed under the name Lactococcus lactis subsp. lactis. RNAcentral's name for it is "bacterial SSU rRNA". It matches the Rfam family "Bacterial small subunit ribosomal RNA", at positions 720 to 1498 of the family's 1533-position model. The record is from RNAcentral. Lineage: Bacteria; Bacillati; Bacillota; Bacilli; Lactobacillales; Streptococcaceae.
AGCGGCUCUCUGCCUGUACUGACACUGAGCUCGAAAGCGUGGGGAGCAAACAGGAUUAGAUACCCUGUAGUCACGCCGUAAACGAUGAGUGCUAGCUGUAGGAGCUAUAAGUUCUCUGUAGCGCAGCUAACGCAUUAAGCACUCCGCCUGGGGAGUACGACCGCAAGGUUGAAACUCAAAGGAAUUGACGGGGGCCCGCACAAGCGGUGGAGCAUGUGGUUUAAUUCGAAGCAACGCGAAGAACCUUACCAGGUCUUGACAUACUCGUGCUAUCCUUAGAGAUAAGGAGUUCCUUCGGGACACGGGAUACAGGUGGUGCAUGGUUGUCGUCAGCUCGUGUCGUGAGAUGUUGGGUUAAGUCCCGCAACGAGCGCAACCCUUAUUACUAGUUGCCAUCAUUAAGUUGGGCACUCUAGUGAGACUGCCGAUAAUAAACCGGAGGAAGGUGGGGAUGACGUCAAAUCAUCAUGCCCCUUAUGACCUGGGCUACACACGUGCUACAAUGGAUGGUACAACGAGUCGCCAACCCGCGAGGGUGCGCUAAUCUCUUAAAACCAUUCUCAGUUCGGAUUGCAGGCUGCAACUCGCCUGCAUGAAGUCGGAAUCGCUAGUAAUCGCGGAUCAGCACGCCGCGGUGAAUACGUUCCCGGGCCUUGUACACACCGCCCGUCACACCACGGAAGUUGGGAGUACCCAAAGUAGGUUGCCUAACCGCAAGGAGGGCGCUUCCUAAGGUAAGACCGAUGACUGGGGUGAAGUCUUAACAAGGUA